UGGAAGUGAACUUCCACUACUGCAAUGAAUGCAGCAGCCAUUAUGGGGAUUAAAAUACAAACGCCCAAAUAUACAGAGGUCAGUUUGCAGUGGAAGCCAAUUCUGAUCCCAUGACCAAGCAAAUCCUAUCGUCUUUCUCUUUAUUGGGUUUAGGUUUCCAAGAAUUGUAUUCCUUUAUUUAGUACAUUGUAUUAAAAAAAGAAAAGUUAAAUGCCUUGUAGAAAACGUGUUGCCUUCUGGGCUUUUACAGGAUUUAGCUACAUGGAGACAGAUUUCAGUACUUCCCCAAAGCUCAUGUAGUUUCUCAUUCUGCUCGUUGAACUCCAAGAUGAUUUACUAAUGAGUAGAUUUAUUUAAGCACAAGCCAAAACUCUGCUAAUUUUUAUGCACAAGCACCAUUUGUUAUUUUGAAUAGCAAAAGGGUAGCGGUGGUUUUGUUGUUAUUUUGUGGAUUUCUUUUUUAAAGGAAUCAAAAGGUAAAAAUAUGACCCCUCAUACUUCAAUGUAUCACUGUUAGUGAAGCAAGACCAAGGUUCAACUUUAUUUCAACAGAAGAUACAGAAUCUAUGCAGCAUGGAAAUAUCCACAUGGAAUAUAUUGCCUAAGCAAACAGCUACCACAGAGACUGAUUUAAAAAAAAAAAUAAAGGAGAUCUUAGUACACAAAAGAAAGUGUCAAAGUCAACACUGACCUUUUCAUGCCUCUUAAGCAGCUGAUGCCUCUGCAUGAAGUACUGAUCCUUGAGUUGCUGUUUGAGGAGCUGGUGUUUCUCUUGUAGAUGUCGCUCCUCCAGCUCCCAGAUCGCAGCUUCACGAGCUGAAGAGAGAAGGCAGGUUCAGAAAGUACAACACAAUCCUUAUUAACCCACCUGCAAGUGUAUGUUUAGAAGUGGCCUACAAUCACAUUUUAAGAGCAACGCUAUUCUAUAAGCAGAAGGUUUUAUUAUUGUUCCAUAUUAGCAUUUUAUUGAAAUGCAGCACAAAUAACUUCCUUUAAGGAGAGACUCACCUCUCAUGAGCUGCUGUUUGCUGUUGAGGCAAUCUCGUUCAAUAGUGGCUAGUUCGGUCUUUUGCUGCUGAAUAAUUUUCUUCAGAGACGCAUCCAGUUCUUGUUGCUGUUUCUGUACAAACUCCUGCUCCUCCUUCUUCUUGUUCUUCAGCAUGUUCUGGAAUUUGGACAGCUCUUUCUCCUGCUCUGCUUUGAUGCGUUUCGCUUCAUCUCGUAACCGAUUUGUGUGCUCCUGCUCCAAGCGCUCUAUCGUCUGCUUCUGCUGCUUCUCCAGAUUCUCUAUUUCUUGGUCGUACUGCCGCUUCUUACUUGUCAUUUCCUGUUCAAAACGCCUGUACAUCUGUUCCCGCUGUUGCAGGAGCUUGUUGCUGAGCUGCUGUUGGGCUCUCUGCUCCUCCUUCUGAAGAAGCCUCAGCUCUCUCAGCUCCUGACGCCGCAGAAAUCUCAUUUCUUCACUUUUGGAGUCAUUUUCAGUAACUAUUUUUGAUGUUGUUACGCUCACUUCUACUCCAUCAACAACGAACUUCCGAGUUUUCUUUAAAGUUUUCUUCUGCCUCCUCGUUUCCUGUAAAGAUAUGGAUCCUGUCUCCUUGUUUUUACUAAGGAAACUAGAAAUUGACAAGUUCAAAUCAAUGCUGCUGUUAUCAGCCGUAGAACCCGUGCCCGAAUCUGCAUCAUUUUCCUUCAGGCUCUCAGACUCCAGCUGCUGUAACGUUUCGGUACUGUCUUGAUUAUCCAUUUUGACCUUUUCAUUAUUUUCUUCAGUGCUAAUACUAAUACUGGGGACCGGAGUGAGUUCAGAGUCAUCAGCUUGUUCGUUGGUAGUGUCUUGAAGCUUAUUCUUCAUUAUUUUAUCAGAAGAAACUUCUGGUUGCUCUUUGUCCGUUCGAAUAUUGUUUUCCUGGAUAUUCUCAGCUCUGUGCUUUUCUGGAUUCUGGUCCAUCUCAGUCUGUUCAUCCACCAUUUUAUUAGAAAUAUCCUCAGGCUUGUCCUGUAUUGCCUUCUGGCCUACAUCAUCUUCUCUGGAGUCUUUGCUCUCCAUUUCCUCCAUGCUACUUAUUUUACAGAUAUUCUCAUUUUCACUUUCUGCCAGCUUCUUCUCUACUUUGAUCUCUUUAUCUUGGCUUUCUGAUAGAGUUUCUUCAGAGCUGAUUAUCUCAAGGACCUGCUUAGCCUGACUUUCCACUGGCUUAUCCGAUGUCUCAGGUAUUUUAUCCCCAUCGCUGAUCUGUGUUUCAGCAAUACCACCUAUCUCCUUAAUGUUUUCAAUUCCAUGUUUUAUGAGUUCCUUUUCUUCAUCUGACACUUUAUCCUCAGCACUAGGUACAGAGUCUGUAAUGACAUCUUUCAUUGCUUCUUUCUGAGCUUCAUCUUCAUCUUCCCUUUGCUCUGUGAUAUUUUCUGCAGUGACCUUUUCAUUCUCGCUCUCUGAGAGAUCUAUUCUGAUUUCCUCCUCUUUUUCACCAGUUUCCUCAGAAACGGCUUCUCCAGUUUCUACACUAUCAUCAAUCCCGGGCACCACUUUCAGUUCAUUUUCCUCUCUUUGUUCAUUUCCUAUGUCAUUUUCUUUCUCUGUUUUUAAGUUGUGUUCAUCCUUUAUUUCUGAUAUUGUUACCGCAUUAAGUUCUUUCCUUCCUUUCUGAGGUUCUGUAUCUUCAGCUGUCUCUUCCAGACUUUCUGUAUUCUUUUCAAUUGGCAAUAUUUUGCCUUGCUCAACUUCACCAGUUGGCACAGAACCAUUCUGCACUUUGAUAUCACCACCAACACCAUCAGGUAUGCUUUCAGCUGUUUUCCUACUUUUAAUGUCCUGAGAUUCAUCUUCAAUUGUUUUAUCAUCUGGAAACAUAGUGUUGCUUUUCUCCUCAGUUACAUUACUUUCUGUUUUCUCAGAAAGAGAUUCCAGAACAGAGGCGUUCUGUGAAAGCUUAUCCUCUUCAGAGCUGGCAAUACUAAGGUCAGAAGAUGCACGCUUGUCUGCAGGUAACUGCUGAAAAAUUAAAGAAAGAAAAAUAUUUAAUCACUUUCAAUUUUACCUAAAGCACAGUCCUACUGAAGAAUAUCCG
Molecule: long non-coding RNA, 3071 nt
Filed under: Gallus gallus (chicken)
Lineage: Eukaryota; Metazoa; Chordata; Aves; Galliformes; Phasianidae
Source: RNAcentral